Long non-coding RNA from Pantherophis guttatus, 391 nucleotides. RefSeq lists it as uncharacterized. NCBI's taxonomy places the organism in Eukaryota, Metazoa, Chordata, Lepidosauria, Squamata, Colubridae. The record is from RefSeq and is a predicted model, not a curated record.
AUCUCACACCUCGGAUGAGCAAACGAAUGAACUUUGUCUUAUCCUCCAGGAGAAGGGGGAAAAAACCCAAGAAAAUACAAACCAAUCACAACCUGUCAUUAGCCAAGAUUGGAAAUACCAUGACCUCAAACGGACAGAGUUCACCGACAUCAUUAACAACUCAUCCUUCAACCAACAUUCAAUUUCCCAUUAAAAUGAAAAUGAGUCACAAACAAACUGAAUACAAUUGCUCCAGAGAAAAUAAGCUUACUAAAGGUGAAAGGAUGACGACAACAACAACAUGGUUAAUUAAAAACAAAACUGGUUAAAUAAUUUCAAUUAUGAUUCAUUGUCACUUGGAGGGAUUUAGUGGAAACACUAAAGAGAGAACAAUGGCCAGAUGCACUGGAUG